This is a small nucleolar RNA of Arachis duranensis, 109 nucleotides long. Lineage: Eukaryota; Viridiplantae; Streptophyta; Magnoliopsida; Fabales; Fabaceae. The record is from RefSeq and is a predicted model, not a curated record.
AAACCAUGUUGGGAGGGCAUCUCCUGAUCAUCUACUUGUAUCUCUCCCAGGUCUCAUAGAGGGACUCUCCCCCUUUCUGUUUGAAGGUCUAGACAUCCACUCUAAGCUU